UGGGGAAUAUUGCACAAUGGGCGAAAGCCUGAUGCAGCAACGCCGCGUGAGUGAUGAAGGCCUUCGGGUUGUAAAGCUCUGUCUUUUGGGACGAUAAUGACGGUACCAAAGGAGGAAGCCACGGCUAACUACGUGCCAGCAGCCGCGGUAAUACGUAGGUGGCAAGCGUUGUCCGGAUUUACUGGGCGUAAAGGAUGCGUAGGCGGAUUUUUAAGUGAGAUGUGAAAACCCUAAGCUUAACUUGGGGACUGCAUUUCAUACUGGAAAUCUAGAGUGCGGGAGAGGAGAAUGGAAUUCCUAGUGUAGCGGUGAAAUGCGUAGAGAUUAGGAAGAACACCAGUGGCGAAGGCGAUUCUCUGGACCGUAACUGACGCUGAGGCAUGAAAGCGUGGGUAGCAAACAGGAUUAGAUACCCUGGUAGUCCACGCCGUAAACGAUGAGUACUAGGUGUAGGAGGUAUCGACCCCUUCUGUGCCGCAGUUAACACAAUAAGUACCCCGCCUGGGAAGUACGAUCGCAAGAUUAAAACUCAAAUGAAUUGAC
Molecule: ribosomal RNA, 543 nt
Filed under: uncultured bacterium
Lineage: Bacteria
Description: partial 16S ribosomal RNA
Rfam family: Bacterial small subunit ribosomal RNA
Source: RNAcentral